Molecule: transfer RNA, 61 nt
Filed under: Helianthus annuus (common sunflower)
Lineage: Eukaryota; Viridiplantae; Streptophyta; Magnoliopsida; Asterales; Asteraceae
Rfam family: tRNA
About the family: Transfer RNA (tRNA) molecules are approximately 80 nucleotides in length. Their secondary structure includes four short double-helical elements and three loops (D, anti-codon, and T loops).
Source: RNAcentral
GUUUCUAUUAGGACAGAGGUCUUCUAAACCUUUAGUAUAGGUUCAAAUCCUAUUGGACGCA